UUUCUAGCUUGCUAGAAGAUGACGAGCGGCGGACGGGUGAGUAAUGCUUGGGAAUAUGCCUUAUGGUGGGGGACAACAGUUGGAAACGACUGCUAAUACCGCAUAAUGUCUACGGACCAAAGGGGGGGAUCUUCGGACCUCUCGCCAUUUGAUUAGCCCAAGUGAGAUUAGCUAGUUGGUGAGGUAAUCGCUCACCAAGGCGACGAUCUCUAGCUGGUUUGAGAGGAUGAUCAGCCACACUGGGACUGAGACACGGCCCAGACUCCUACGGGAGGCAGCAGUGGGGAAUAUUGCACAAUGGGCGCAAGCCUGAUGCAGCCAUGCCGCGUGUGUGAAGAAGGCCUUCGGGUUGUAAAGCACUUUCAGUAAGGAGGAAAGGGAUGUAGUUAAUAACUGCAUUCUGUGACGUUACUUACAGAAGAAGCACCGGCUAACUUCGUGCCAGCAGCCGCGGUAAUACGAGGGGUGCAAGCGUUAAUCGGAAUUACUGGGCGUAAAGCGUUCGUAGGCGGUUGAUUAAGCAAGAUGUGAAAGCCCAGGGCUCAACCUUGGAACUGCAUUUUGAACUGGUCAACUAGAGUACUGUAGAGGGUGGUGGAAUUUCCA
Molecule: ribosomal RNA, 606 nt
Filed under: uncultured bacterium
Lineage: Bacteria
Description: bacterial SSU rRNA
Rfam family: Bacterial small subunit ribosomal RNA
Source: RNAcentral